Molecule: transfer RNA, 83 nt
Filed under: Schistocephalus solidus
Lineage: Eukaryota; Metazoa; Platyhelminthes; Cestoda; Diphyllobothriidea; Diphyllobothriidae
Rfam family: tRNA
About the family: Transfer RNA (tRNA) molecules are approximately 80 nucleotides in length. Their secondary structure includes four short double-helical elements and three loops (D, anti-codon, and T loops).
Source: Rfam by way of RNAcentral
GGCCUCGUAGCUCAGUCGGCUAGAGCAUUGGCUGUACUAUAACCUUCCUCUUGCUGGCUUGUGUUCGAAUCCCACCGAGGCUG